ACGAACGCUGGCGGCGUGCCUAACACAUGCAAGUCGAGCGGAGAUACGGAAUAGUUUACUAGGAAGUAUCUUAGCGGCGGACGGGUGAGUAACGCGUGGGCAACCUGCCUUACAGAGGGGGAUAACAGUGCGAAAGUACUGCUAAUACCGCAUGAUAUUGUACCAUCUCAUGAUGGAACAAUCAAAGGAGAAAUCCGCUGUAAGAUGGGCCCGCGUCUGAUUAGCUAGUUGGUAAGGUAAUGGCUUACCAAGGCGACGAUCAGUAGCCGAUCUGAGAGGAUGAACGGCCACACUGGAACUGAGACACGGUCCAGACUCCUACGGGAGGCAGCAGUGGGGAAUAUUGCACAAUGGGCGAAAGCCUGAUGCAGCAACGCCGCGUGGAGGAUGAAGGUUUUCGGAUUGUAAACUCCUUUGAUCGGGGAUGAAAAAAAUGACAGUACCCGAAAAACAAGCCACGGCUAACUACGUGCCAGCAGCCGCAGUAAAAC
This 491-nucleotide ribosomal RNA is filed under the name uncultured bacterium. Its description in RNAcentral is "bacterial SSU rRNA". It matches the Rfam family "Bacterial small subunit ribosomal RNA", at positions 29 to 526 of the family's 1533-position model. The record is from RNAcentral.